This 707-nucleotide ribosomal RNA is filed under the name uncultured Bacteroidales bacterium. Its description in RNAcentral is "bacterial SSU rRNA". It matches the Rfam family "Bacterial small subunit ribosomal RNA", at positions 50 to 748 of the family's 1533-position model. Lineage: Bacteria; Pseudomonadati; Bacteroidota; Bacteroidia; Bacteroidales. The record is from RNAcentral.
AACACAUGCAAGUCGAGGGGCAUCAGGAAGAAAGCUUGCUUUCUUUGCUGGCGACCGGCGCACGGGUGAGUAACACGUAUCCAACCUGCCCUUUACUCGGGGAUAGCCUUUCGAAAGAAAGAUUAAUACCCGAUGGGAUAAUCAUUCCGCAUGGUUUGAUUAUUAAAGGAUUCCGGUAAAGGAUGGGGAUGCGUUCCAUUAGGUUGUUGGUGAGGUAACGGCCCACCAAGCCUUCGAUGGAUAGGGGUUCUGAGAGGAAGGUCCCCCACAUUGGAACUGAGACACGGUCCAAACUCCUACGGGAGGCAGCAGUGAGGAAUAUUGGUCAAUGGGCGAUGGCCUGAACCAGCCAAGUAGCGUGAAGGAUGACUGCCCUAUGGGUUGUAAACUUCUUUUAUAUUAGAAUAAAGUGCAGUAUGUAUACUGUUUUGUAUGUAUAAUAUGAAUAAGGAUCGGCUAGCUCCGUGCCAGCAGCCGCGGUAAUACGGAGGAUCCGAGCGUUAUCCGGAUUUAUUGGGUUUAAAGGGAGCGUAGGUGGACUGGUAAGUCAGUUGUGAAAGUUUGCGGCUCAACCGUAAAAUUGCAGUUGAUACUGUCAGUCUUGAGUACAGUAGAGGUGGGCGGAAUUCGUGGUGUAGCGGUGAAAUGCUUAGAUAUCACGAAGACUCCGAUUGCGAAGGCAGCUCACUGGACUGCAACUGACACUG